RNAcentral lists this ribosomal RNA (392 nucleotides) under uncultured bacterium. Its description in RNAcentral is "bacterial SSU rRNA". It matches the Rfam family "Bacterial small subunit ribosomal RNA", at positions 37 to 433 of the family's 1533-position model. The record is from RNAcentral.
UGGCGGCAUGCCUUACNCAUGCAAGUCGAACGGUAACNGGUCUUCGGAUGCUGACGAGUGGCGAACGGGUGAGUAAUACAUCGGAACGUGCCCGAUCGUGGGGGAUAACGAAGCGAAAGCCUUGCUAAUACCGCAUACGAUCUACGGAUGAAAGCAGGGGACCGCAAGGCCUUGCGCGAACGGAGCGGCCGAUGGCAGAUUAGGUAGUUGGUGGGAUAAAAGCUUACCAAGCCGACGACCUGUAGCUGGUCUGAGAGGACGACCAGCCACACUGGGACUGAGACACGGGCCAGACUCCUACGGGAGGCAGCAGUGGGGAAUUUUGGACAAUGGGCGAAAGNCUGAUCCAGCCAUGCCGCGUGCAGGAUGAAGGCCUUCGNGUUGUAAACUGC